RNAcentral lists this ribosomal RNA (478 nucleotides) under uncultured bacterium. RNAcentral describes it as "partial 16S ribosomal RNA". It matches the Rfam family "Bacterial small subunit ribosomal RNA", at positions 28 to 523 of the family's 1533-position model. The record is from RNAcentral.
GACGAACGCUGGCGGCGUGCUUAACACAUGCAAGUCGAGCGGUAAGGCCCUUCGGGGUACACGAGUGGCGAACGGGUGAGUAACACGUGGGUGAUCUGCCCUGCACUUCGGGAUAAGCCUGGGAAACUGGGUCUAAUACCGGAUAGGACCCUGGGAUGCAUGUCCUGGGGUGGAAAGCUUUUGCGGUGUGGGAUGGGCCCGCGGCCUAUCAGCUUGUUGGUGGGGUGAUGGCCUACCAAGGCGACGACGGGUAGCCGGCCUGGGAGGGUGACCGGCCACACUGGGACUGAGAUACGGCCCAGACUCCUACGGGAGGCAGCAGUGGGGAAUAUUGCACAAUGGGCGCAAGCCUGGUGCAGCGACGCCGCGUGAGGGAUGACGGCCUUCGGGUUGUAAACCUCUUUCAGCACCGACGAAGCGCAAGUGACGGUAGGUGCAGAAGAAGGACCGGCCAACUACGUGCCAGCCGCCGCAGUAA